UCCGGUGGAAUCUUGCUAGGCAUCCAUUCCACGUACUUGGAACUUUUGUCCACGUCAAAGGGGGAAUAUCAUAUCAAAUUUCACCUUCGAAACAAGUCCGACAAUUUCCUUUGGAGCCUGGCGGUUGUAUAUGGCGCCGCUCAGGACGAGUUUAAGUCUGCUUUUCUAAAGGAACUUGUCAAUACCUGCCAAGAUAAUCCCCAUCCAAUGUUAAUCAGGGGGGAUUUCAAUAUCCUUCGAUAUCAGCAGGUAGAAAACAAUGACCGGUUUGAUACUAGGUGGCCUUUCCUAUUUAAUGCUGUUAUUGACAGCCUAGAUCUGUGGGAGCUCACUAUGUCUGGCCGUCAGUAUACCUGGGCCAAUAACCGACCAGUUCCAACUUUCUAA
RNAcentral lists this ribosomal RNA (387 nucleotides) under Triticum aestivum (bread wheat). Its description in RNAcentral is "partial small subunit ribosomal RNA". The record is from RNAcentral. Lineage: Eukaryota; Viridiplantae; Streptophyta; Magnoliopsida; Poales; Poaceae.